This 854-nucleotide ribosomal RNA is filed under the name uncultured microorganism. RNAcentral's name for it is "bacterial SSU rRNA". It matches the Rfam family "Archaeal small subunit ribosomal RNA", at positions 477 to 1338 of the family's 1478-position model. The record is from RNAcentral.
CAGCUCUCCGAGUGGUGGGGACGAUUAUUGGGCUUAAAGCGUUCGUAGCCGGCUUAACAAGUCUUCCGUUAAAUCCAACGAUCUAAUCGUUGGGCUGCGGGAGAUACUGUUGGGCUAGGAGGCGGGAGAAGCCGACGGUAUUCUCGGGGUAGGGGUGAAAUCCUGUAAUCCCGGGAGGACCACCAGUGGCGAAGGCGGUCGGCUAGAACGCGCUCGACGGUGAGGGACGAAAGCUGGGGGAGCAAACCGGAUUAGAAACCCGGGUAGUCCCAGCUGUAAACGAUGCGGGCUAGGUGUUGGGGUGGCCACGAGCCACUUCAGUGCCGCAUGGAAGCAAUUAAGCCCGCCGCCUGGGGAGUACGGCCGCAAGGCUGAAACUUAAAGGAAUUGGCGGGGGAGCACCACAAGGCGUGAAGCUUGCGGUUUAAUUGGAGUCAACGCCGGGAAACUUACCGGGGGCGACAGCAGUAUGAAAGCCAGAUUGAAGGUCUUGCUGGACGAGCUGAGAGGAGGUGCAUGGCCGUCGCCAGUUCGUGCCGUGAGGUGUCCUGUUAAGUCAGGCAACGAUCGAGACCCGCCUCCCUUGUUGCUACUGGUGAAUAGCCAGGCACACUAGGGAAACUGCCGUCGAUAAGGCGGAGGAAGGAGCGGGCCACGGCAGGUCAGUAUGCCCCGAAUCCCCCGGGCCACACGCGAGCUGCAAUGGCAGGGACAAUGGGUUUCAACCCUGAAAAGGGGAGGUAAUCUCUAAACCCUGCCUCAGUUGGGAUCGAGGGCUGUAACUCGCCCUCGUGAACAUGGAAUGCCUAGUAAUCGCGUGUCAUCAUCGCGCGGUGAAUACGUCCCCGCUCCUU